Molecule: unclassified non-coding RNA, 531 nt
Filed under: Candida tropicalis
Lineage: Eukaryota; Fungi; Ascomycota; Pichiomycetes; Serinales; Debaryomycetaceae
Description: sequence contains 18S rRNA gene, ITS1, 5.8S rRNA gene, ITS2, 28S rRNA gene
Rfam family: 5.8S ribosomal RNA (bases 185-338)
Source: RNAcentral
AGUCGUAACAAGGUUUCCGUAGGUGAACCUGCGGAAGGAUCAUUACUGAUUUGCUUAAUUGCACCACAUGUGUUUUUUAUUGAACAAAUUUCUUUGGUGGCGGGAGCAAUCCUACCGCCAGAGGUUAUAACUAAACCAAACUUUUUAUUUACAGUCAAACUUGAUUUAUUAUUACAAUAGUCAAAACUUUCAACAACGGAUCUCUUGGUUCUCGCAUCGAUGAAGAACGCAGCGAAAUGCGAUACGUAAUAUGAAUUGCAGAUAUUCGUGAAUCAUCGAAUCUUUGAACGCACAUUGCGCCCUUUGGUAUUCCAAAGGGCAUGCCUGUUUGAGCGUCAUUUCUCCCUCAAACCCCCGGGUUUGGUGUUGAGCAAUACGCUAGGUUUGUUUGAAAGAAUUUACGUGGAAACUUAUUUUAAGCGACUUAGGUUUAUCCAAAACGCUUAUUUUGCUAGUGGCCACCACAAUUUAUUUCAUAACUUUGACCUCAAAUCAGGUAGGACUACCCGCUGAACUUAAGCAUAUCAAUAA